GCCCCGGUGGCGCAAUCGGUUAGCGCGCCGUACUUAUAAGCAGAUAUGGCGAGUUAUGCGGAGGUUGUGAGUUCGAUCCUCACCCGGGGCA
This 91-nucleotide transfer RNA is filed under the name Helobdella robusta. RNAcentral's name for it is "tRNA-Ile for anticodon UAU". It matches the Rfam family "tRNA". From Rfam's summary of the family: Transfer RNA (tRNA) molecules are approximately 80 nucleotides in length. Their secondary structure includes four short double-helical elements and three loops (D, anti-codon, and T loops). Further hydrogen bonds mediate the characteristic L-shaped molecular structure. tRNAs have two regions of fundamental functional importance: the anti-codon, which is responsible for specific mRNA codon recognition, and the 3' end, to which the tRNAs corresponding amino acid is attached (by aminoacyl-tRNA synthetases). tRNAs cope with the degeneracy of the genetic code in two manners: having more than one tRNA (with a specific anti-codon) for a particular amino acid; and 'wobble' base-pairing, i.e. permitting non-standard base-pairing at the 3rd anti-codon position. The record is from Rfam by way of RNAcentral. Lineage: Eukaryota; Metazoa; Annelida; Clitellata; Rhynchobdellida; Glossiphoniidae.